Molecule: ribosomal RNA, 497 nt
Filed under: uncultured bacterium
Lineage: Bacteria
Description: partial 16S ribosomal RNA
Rfam family: Bacterial small subunit ribosomal RNA
Source: RNAcentral
GAUGAACGCUGGCGGCGUGCCUAAUACAUGCAAGUCGAGCGAACGGACGAGAAGAUUGCUUCUCUGAUGUUAGCGGCGGACGGGCGAGUAACACGUGGAUAACCUACCUAUAAGACUGGGAUAACAUCGGGAAACCGGAGCUAAUAACGGAUAAUAUUUUGAACCGCAUGGUUCAAAAGUGAAAGACGGCCUUGCUGUCAGAUAUAGAUGGAUCCGCGCUGCAUUAGCUAGUUGGUAAGGUAACGGCUUAGCAAGGCAACGAUGCAUAGCCGACCUGAGAGGGUGAUCGGCCACACUGGAACUGAGACACGGUCCAGACUCCUACGGGAGGCAGCAGUAGGGAAUCUUCCGCAAUGGGCGAAAGCCUGACGGAGCAACGCCGCGUGAGUGAUGAAGGUCUUCGGGUCGUAAAGCUCUUUUAUUAGGGAAGAACAUAUGUGUAAGUAACUGUGCACAUCUUGACGGUACCUAAUCAGUAAGCCACGGCUAACUACGUG